AUUGAACGCUGGCGGCGUGCUUAACACAUGCAAGUCGAUCGGUAACAGGUGUAGCAAUACAUGCUGACGAGAGGCGGACGGGUGAGUAAUGCUUGGGAAUCUGCCUAUUAGUGGGGGACAACCCGGGGAAACUCGGGCUAAUACCGCAUACGCUCUACGGAGGAAAGCCGGGGACCGCAAGGCCUGGCGCUAAUAGAUGAGCCCAAGUCGGAUUAGCUAGUCGGUAGGGUAACGGCCUACCAAGGCGACAAUCCGUAGCUGGUCUGAGAGGACGACCAGCCACACCGGAACUGAGACACGGUCCGGACUCCUACGGGAGGCAGCAGUGGGGAAUAUUGGACAAUGGGGGCAACCCUGAUCCAGCGACGCCGCGUGGGUGAAGAAGGCCUGCGGUUGUAAAGCCCUUUCGGUGGGGAAGAAAAGUCUCGACCUAAUACGUCGGGACCUUGACCGUAACCCACUAAAGAAGCACCGGCUAACUCUGUGCCAGCAGCCG
RNAcentral lists this ribosomal RNA (496 nucleotides) under uncultured bacterium. Its description in RNAcentral is "bacterial SSU rRNA". It matches the Rfam family "Bacterial small subunit ribosomal RNA", at positions 29 to 517 of the family's 1533-position model. The record is from RNAcentral.